UUGAUCAGAAGACUUUGGACCAAUGUGCUGUUGAAAUUGGUUGGCCAAAUUUUGUUUCCUCACAGGAUGUUCUGGUUUUGGAAAGAAGUUUUUUUCUCUCUUUAUGUGUCUGUCUGCAUUGUUGUUUGAGUUACCAUUGAGAAAAGUAUCACCUUGAAUAUUUUAAUUAGAAGCUACUAAAAAUUGAUUGUAAGUUAAAUUUGACAUAUUUUAGUAAUAAGAACUCCAAAAUCAACAGCAUUGUACUUUUUCAAAAAUUAGAUGUGAACCAUAAUGCCAAAUAGACUCUACUUUGCUUCAUUUUGGCUAUUGGUUGGAGGAGGAUGAUUGAGACAAUAGAUGCCUUUGUUGAUAGCUCACUUCACACUUUCUCCUGCUUCUUGUUGCAGGGAAUU
Molecule: unclassified non-coding RNA, 395 nt
Filed under: Hevea brasiliensis (rubber tree)
Lineage: Eukaryota; Viridiplantae; Streptophyta; Magnoliopsida; Malpighiales; Euphorbiaceae
Source: RNAcentral